Molecule: transfer RNA, 67 nt
Filed under: Prosopocoilus laterotarsus
Lineage: Eukaryota; Metazoa; Arthropoda; Insecta; Coleoptera; Lucanidae
Also listed under: 1 other name
Description: tRNA-Ser
Source: RNAcentral
GAGUCAAGAAAUACGAGAAUAAGCUUCUAACUUAAUUCCCUAGUGGUGAAAAUCCAUUAAUGACUCU